RNAcentral lists this ribosomal RNA (385 nucleotides) under uncultured bacterium. RNAcentral's name for it is "bacterial SSU rRNA". It matches the Rfam family "Bacterial small subunit ribosomal RNA", at positions 29 to 416 of the family's 1533-position model. The record is from RNAcentral.
AUUAAACGCUGGCGGCAUGCCUUACACAUGCAAGUCGAACGGCAGCACGGGGGCAACCUUGGUGGCGAGUGGCGAACGGGUGAGUAAAGCAUCGGAACGUGCCCUGGAGUGGGGGAUAACGUAGCGAAAGUUACGCUAAUACCGCAUAUUCUGUGAGCAGGAAAGCAGGGGAUCGCAAGACCUUGCGCUCUGGGAGCGGCCGAUGUCGGAUUAGCUAGUUGGUGGGGUAAAGGCCUACCAAGGCGACGAUCCGUAGCGGGUCUGAGAGGAUGAUCCGCCACACUGGGACUGAGACACGGCCCAGACUCCUACGGGAGGCAGCAGUGGGAAUUUUGGACAAUGGGCGAAAGCCUGAUCCAGCCAUGCCGCGUGAGUGAAGAAGGCC